GAUGAACGCUGGCGGCGUGCCUAAUACAUGCAAGUCGAGCGGAGGGACGCGAAGCUUGCUGCUCGGAGGUUAGCGGCGGACAAGGGGGUAACACCUCGAUAGCCUCCCUAUACGACUGGGAGAAUUACGGGAAACCGGUGCUGAUAACGCGUGAUAUUUUGAACCGCUUGGUUCAAGGGUGAAGGACGGUCUUGCUGUCGCUUGUAGAUGGAUCCGCGCUGCAUUAGCUAGUUGGUAAGGUAAUGGCUUACCAAGGCAACGAUGCAUAGCCGACCUGAGAGGGUGAUCGGCCACACUGGAACUGAGACACGGUCCAGACUCCUACGGGAGGCAGCAGUAGGGAAUCUUCCGCAAUGGGCGAAAGCCUGACGGAGCAACGACGCGUGAGUGAUGAAGGUCUUCGUAUCGUAAAACUCUGUUAUUAGGGAAGAACAUAUGUGUAAGUAACUGUGCACAGCUUGACGGUACCUAAUCAGAAAGCCACGGCUAACUACGUG
RNAcentral lists this ribosomal RNA (497 nucleotides) under uncultured bacterium. Its description in RNAcentral is "partial 16S ribosomal RNA". It matches the Rfam family "Bacterial small subunit ribosomal RNA", at positions 28 to 507 of the family's 1533-position model. The record is from RNAcentral.